GUUGGUGUCACCCAUGGUUCUGCCUUACACAUUGCGUAGUAAAGGAUUACUUUAGGCACAACCUGUGACCUUACUGGAGCAGAGACGACUUUAGGAGUAUGCCACAGGGUGUUUUGCGGUGGUGUGUCAACUCUCUUUACACGGAUACGUGAACGGUGCGCGGUGAUAUAGAGCCAGGAUACAUGGCCUACUUCCAGAGGCUGAAGAUCCAUGUGUCCGUGGCCAUCGUGCUUGUGCUUGUCUCUGCAGCGACGGAAGUUGAAGCCACAGAAUUUCAGGGUCUGAAAGACCUGAAAACACAGGUGAGCGACUUAGCGAAAAGGUGGCAUGAGUGUAGCGUAUCGCUAACUGGUAUGGCCGAGGUUCCCGGUGAGCUAAAGGAUUUGAAAGCGCAAGUGGAAGCAAUGAAAAAUAAGAGAUACAAUACAGCGUCCAACUUAAUACCCCCUGUGCCGGGUCUGAGCAUUGAUGCAGCGUUCAAGAAGGUUCUAGAGAUCGAUAAAAGACUUAGUGCAAUGGAGGUAGAAAACAAAAGUUUACGCGAAGCUAUGGAACAGAUGAAACGAGACAUGCAUUCAGAGCGGCUUGAAAGGAAGAGCAGCGUGCAGGCUGUACGAGCUGAAGCAAGGAGUGUUGCGGAACUGCUGGUGCCGGAAGUGAAACAAACGUUAGUGGAGCUUCCAUCGAUGGUAGCGAAAAUGAAACGUUUUUUCAGAACUGGCAGAGACGUAAUGCAGUUUUUGUCACCAACAAGAUCUCCAAAUGAUACGGCCGAUCAAGACAAGUUGAACACCGUUCAGAUGGAGAGAAAUUCAGUAGCUGUGCUAGAGGAAGAAACCAGCGAACCCACCAAUGAACUAGACGCCGAGGUUAACGCUGCGGCCUAUAAUCAACGCGGUAACGUGCCACACCACAGCUCUCUACAGAAGUUUGAAAUUGGGAGUGGUAUUCAAGAAAAGAUCUAUAAUAGUACUAUUCCGACACUUGUCACUCAUUUUGCUGAAAAUGACUCCUAUACACAGCCAAACUUUACUGAAACAGCAUUACACAGCGAAGCAUUGAAAAACGCAAGAUAUGGCAAUGUCAGUGAAAUUGAGUUUGUUGGACAAGAAAGAAAUUUUUCUAUUUCCAUCACAGACGGCAAAGUAACCAGCUGCAUGGAAUACGGUUCGAACAGUUACAACAUAUCAAAUUCUAGCACGGAGCCUUGUGAUGGUUUCAGAGUCGAAAUGGAUUUUGGAGGGCACGGAACAGGAGAGCGAAUGGUGCCUAUAUCUGAUGACUUCACUAAACACAGGUGGUCUAUUGAAAACGCCAUCGUGUUCAUGGCCAUAGAACUGCAAAGGUUAAGGAAAAGAGUUGCCGAGGAGGCGUUAAACGACAGAGAUGAACGGCUUGAGGAGAUUGCCGAAAACAUGAUGAGAAAGAUGAAUGAAAUGAAAUAUUCUAUCGAAGGCGAAAUGGAACAAGGCCUUGUGAACAUCAGCGUUAAGAUUGAAGAAAUUAUAGGGGUUUUAACACAAUAUAAUUUGACUCACCUUGAAGGCACAACUCAAGAAAUAGCAAGGAACACUAGUUCACUUUGGGAGAGUAUACACAAUGCACAUAAUAAAAUGCAGCAUGUGCAGCACCAAUUUUCAGAAGCUAUAGAAAGUAGCAAUGUUGGCAACAACGCCUCUUUUCAUUUGAUGAAAGAAAACCUCGCAUUAUCUGUGAGCCAACUUGAAGCGCUGAAUAAGUCACUGCAGAGAUUUGUUGCAGAAAGGGAAACGGUACUCAAGGGCAAACUGGAAGUGUUGAAUUCUGCAAUAGAACUUAAUAUGAGGCAGCUUACCGAAACUGUACAAGAGUGUUGCUCGGCAGUUGAGGGGCUUAAUGGGACCACUCAGGGAGUCCAGGCUUCUUCUCUAUAUGAGUUAAGCAAAAAUAAUAACAGCAGCAUCGCUUCCACGGAAAUCAAACUGCAAGCACGGAUGGAUGAUCUGGAUCACAGGUUGCUCAGUGAAAUCGAGCACCUAAAGGAAAUGAUGAAGAUGAAGUCACCUGCUCAACUGCCAAUCUUCAGUGGAUGGCACCCAGAUGAUGCGGCGGACUGCCCGGGACUGGAUGUCCUCGCUACUGACGACCGCUUGAUACUAUCUCCCCACAACAGCGGCCGCUAUCGGGCUCCGCACCUGCCGUCUGAUCCAAUGCCUGUCGGCUCAGUUGUUCGCUUUCGAUGUGUUCCUGCUGGCAGCCACAAGUUGAUUGGCGCGGUGGAGAUACGCUGCCUGGGUGCCAAGCGUUGGUCGAGUAAACCACCCAGAUGCCAGCCACUUCUUACAUUGGAACAGAUGAUGACGGGCAACAAAACGACAUGACGCCAUCCAUACUUUACCAUGGGCUAAUCGGCGACGAGCUGGCCUCUGCGGACGACAAUGACAGCUUGGUGGUUCGACCUGAGACAACCUUGCUACUCAAGUGUCUCUACCCUCGGCAACGCGGCAACGUUACCUGGCUUCAUAACGGAACUGUCCCGCGUGAUGCCACUCUCGCCUGGGCCCAGGAAGGUCCAGCAGAUCUUGGCGAAAACGUAUACUUGUUGCAGAUUAACCGCACUUUACCUGAGCACUCUGGGACUUACCGCUGCGAAACGCCUGAUGGCAUGAAUCACUCCAUCAAAAUCAAGAUAUCAGAUGUGACCUGUCAAGCACCCAUCGCCCCUGAGAAUGGUCACGUGGACAUACCCUCUGCAGGAGGGGCCGUUGUGGGAAGCACAGCUCGAUUCCGCUGCUCCUUAGGAUAUGAACUACAUGGGCCCAAUGAAAGCACUUGCCUGGGAAGCGG
RNAcentral lists this unclassified non-coding RNA (2826 nucleotides) under Rhipicephalus microplus (southern cattle tick). Its description in RNAcentral is "locomotion-related protein Hikaru genki-like, transcript variant X1". The record is from RNAcentral. Lineage: Eukaryota; Metazoa; Arthropoda; Arachnida; Ixodida; Ixodidae.